CCAAAAAUUCCCAAUUCUAAAAACAUGAAUUUUUACAAAUCUACAAAGCCUAGUUCUUGCAGAAAGAAAUUCAAUUACAAAAUAAAUGGGUAUUCAAUCACCUAAAAUGCAUUUCUUUACGCACAACAGCUUAAUUUCUACCCUCAGCUUUCCAAGCUGAAUAUUAAUAAGAUGCACACUGAUCAUCUCAUUCACCAUGUAUCUAAGAAGUGUCAGACAUCUCCCGGAACCUAGCAAGAGCCUUCUUAUGAAUGAGAGUUUUGUAACUAUCUCCGGCCUGCACCUCAAGACUAGGAUCCAAUUUCUUCUGUUGACUCCCAAGUCCUGCUCGAUUUUCCAUGGCUUGUGCUUGGACUGGUUCAAUCAUUCCACUUCCAUCCUUCCCCAAACCCAAGCCUUCUUGCCAGCCCAUAUUGCGAAGCAUUCGAUUGCCCACGUUGCUCUCAUCAAUAGCCUUGUCUGCUGUAAUCACCUCAUAACUCUGAGCAUUGACAUUGGCAUCUCCAACCCCACGCCCUCCACCAACACCAGGAGGGAAAGGCAUUGAAUCCGAAGAACCCCUUUUGAAUGGCAAAUCCCGAUCUUGAAAGUUCAAGAAUAAUAAACACAAAGGAUGCCUCACAAGUUAACGGAGAUAAAGAGAGAUGCAAGCAAUGGACCCAUCAAC
RNAcentral lists this unclassified non-coding RNA (667 nucleotides) under Hevea brasiliensis (rubber tree). The record is from RNAcentral. Lineage: Eukaryota; Viridiplantae; Streptophyta; Magnoliopsida; Malpighiales; Euphorbiaceae.